RNAcentral lists this non-coding RNA (211 nucleotides) under Bacillus subtilis subsp. subtilis. RNAcentral's name for it is "small regulatory RNA and messenger RNA (arginine metabolism)". It matches the Rfam family "SR1 sRNA". Lineage: Bacteria; Bacillati; Bacillota; Bacilli; Caryophanales; Bacillaceae. RNAcentral also lists the same sequence under 1 other name. The record is from RNAcentral.
AACAAAAGAAAUUAAGCGUUUUCAAAUUUCAAAGAAAUGGGGAAUAAGAGAUGGGUACGAUUGUUUGCCAAGAUUGCAACGAAGCCAUUCAUUACUUUGAAGAUGAGAAAGUGACAACAUUAUAUGGAACUUGCUGCGGACAAUGUCAAUGUCCUGUUGAUGAAGAGUAAAAAAAAGCAUGCGGCUUAAAGCCGCAUGCUUUUUAUUUUUU